AUCUUAAUAGCUUAUUAGAGCGUAAUAUUGAAGAUAUUAAGGAGGCUUUGGCCUUAAGAUA
Molecule: transfer RNA, 61 nt
Filed under: Hapsodrilus ignifer
Lineage: Eukaryota; Metazoa; Arthropoda; Insecta; Coleoptera; Elateridae
Description: tRNA-Phe
Source: RNAcentral